This 73-nucleotide transfer RNA is filed under the name Chthonomonadaceae bacterium. It matches the Rfam family "tRNA". Rfam says of the family: Transfer RNA (tRNA) molecules are approximately 80 nucleotides in length. Their secondary structure includes four short double-helical elements and three loops (D, anti-codon, and T loops). Lineage: Bacteria; Bacillati; Armatimonadota; Chthonomonadia; Chthonomonadales; Chthonomonadaceae. The record is from Rfam by way of RNAcentral.
GGGCGAAUAGCUCAGUUGGUAGAGCGCUUCGUUUACACCGAAGAUGUCACGGGUUCAAGUCCUGUUUCGCCCA